This 76-nucleotide transfer RNA is filed under the name Mycobacterium phage Bxz1. Its description in RNAcentral is "tRNA-Leu". It matches the Rfam family "tRNA". From Rfam's summary of the family: Transfer RNA (tRNA) molecules are approximately 80 nucleotides in length. The record is from RNAcentral. RNAcentral also lists the same sequence under 1 other name. Lineage: Duplodnaviria; Heunggongvirae; Uroviricota; Caudoviricetes.
GCCGUGGUAGGCCAUCUGGCGAGCCGCCGAGUUCAAGUUUCGGUGUUUGCGGGUUCGAAUCCCGCCCACGGUACAA